RNAcentral lists this ribosomal RNA (254 nucleotides) under uncultured bacterium. Its description in RNAcentral is "partial 16S ribosomal RNA". It matches the Rfam family "Bacterial small subunit ribosomal RNA", at positions 524 to 777 of the family's 1533-position model. The record is from RNAcentral.
UACGGAGGGGGCUAGCGUUGUUCGGAAUUACUGGGCGUAAAGCGCACGUAGGCGGCUUUGUAAGUUAGAGGUGAAAGCCCAGGGCUUAACCCUGGAAUUGCCUUUAAGACUGCAUCGCUAGAAUUGUGGAGAGGUAAGUGGAAUUCCGAGUGUAGAGGUGAAAUUCGUAGAUAUUCGGAAGAACACCAGUGGCGAAGGCGACUUACUGGACACAUAUUGACGCUGAGGUGCGAAAGCGUGGGGAGCGAACAGGA